UUGUUCGCAAUGGGCGCAAGCCUGACGACGCAACGCCGCGUGGAGGAUGAAGACCUUCGGGUCGUAAACUCCUUUCGAUCGAGACGAAUGGCUUCCGGGUGAACAGUCCGGGAGAGUGACGGUACCGAGAGAAGAAGCCCCGGCUAACUCCGUGCCAGCAGCCGCGGUAAUACGGGGGGGGCAAGCGUUGUUCGGAAUUACUGGGCGUAAAGGGCUCGUAGGUGGCCAACUAAGUCAGACGUGAAAUCCCUCGGCUUAACCGGGGAAUGGCGUCUGAUACUGGCUGGCUUGAGUUCGGGAGAGGGAUGCGGAAUUCCAGGUGUAGCGGUGAAAUGCGUAGAUAUCUGGAGGAACACCGGUGGCGAAGGCGGCAUCCUGGACCGAGACUGACACUGAGGAGCGAAAGCCAGGGGAGCAAAC
This 420-nucleotide ribosomal RNA is filed under the name uncultured bacterium. Its description in RNAcentral is "bacterial SSU rRNA". It matches the Rfam family "Bacterial small subunit ribosomal RNA", at positions 362 to 773 of the family's 1533-position model. The record is from RNAcentral.